Molecule: ribosomal RNA, 253 nt
Filed under: uncultured bacterium
Lineage: Bacteria
Description: partial 16S ribosomal RNA
Rfam family: Bacterial small subunit ribosomal RNA
Source: RNAcentral
UACGGGGGGGGCAAGCGUUGUUCGGAAUUACUGGGCGUAAAGGGCUCGUAGGUGGCCAAUUAAGUCAGGCGUGAAAUCCCCAGGCUCAACUUGGGAACUGCGUCUGAUACUGGUUGGCUUGAAUUCGGGAGAGGGAUGCAGAAUUCCGGGUGUAGCGGUGAAAUGCGUAGAUAUCCGGAGGAACACCGGUGGCGAAGGCGGCUUCCUGGACCGACACUGACGCUGAGGCGCGAAAGCUAGGGGAGCAAACGGG